GGGCAUUUAGCUCAGUUGGCUAGAGCAACUCGUUUACACCGAGUAGGCCGCAGGUUCGAGUCCUGCAGUGCCCACCA
This 77-nucleotide transfer RNA is filed under the name bacterium. Its description in RNAcentral is "tRNA-Val". It matches the Rfam family "tRNA". Rfam says of the family: Transfer RNA (tRNA) molecules are approximately 80 nucleotides in length. Their secondary structure includes four short double-helical elements and three loops (D, anti-codon, and T loops). The record is from RNAcentral.